CUCGUGGCCCAACCUCCCACCCUUGUCUCUAUACACCUGUUGCUUUGGCGGGCCCACCGGGGCCACCUGGUCGCCGGGGGACAUCUGUCCCCGGGCCCGCGCCCGCCGAAGCGCUCUGUGAACCCUGAUGAAGAUGGGCUGUCUGAGUACUAUGAAAAUUGUCAAAACUUUCAACAAUGGAUCUCUUGGUUCCGGCAUCGAUGAAGAACGCAGCGAAAUGCGAUAAGUAAUGUGAAUUGCAGAAUUCCGUGAAUCAUCGAAUCUUUGAACGCACAUUGCGCCCCCUGGCAUUCCGGGGGGCAUGCCUGUCCGAGCGUCAUUUCUGCCCUCAAGCACGGCUUGUGUGUUGGGUGCGGUCCCCCCGGGGACCUGCCCGAAAGGCAGCGGCGACGUCCGUCUGGUCCUCGAGCGUAUGGGGCUUUGUCACUCGCUCGGGAAGGACUGGCGGGGGUUGGUCACCACCAAAAUUUUACCACGGUUGACCUCGGAUCAGGUAG
Molecule: ribosomal RNA, 497 nt
Filed under: Talaromyces amestolkiae
Lineage: Eukaryota; Fungi; Ascomycota; Eurotiomycetes; Eurotiales; Trichocomaceae
Description: eukaryotic LSU rRNA
Rfam family: 5.8S ribosomal RNA (bases 166-319)
Source: RNAcentral